GACCCAAAGAGCAGGGAGCUGGAAAGAGUUUCAGCACUGGAGCAUCAGUGUCUUUGAAUCUGAAUGUGCUGAUUUCUUGAGCAAAAUUUUACCGUGCUCUCCCUUCUGCAGAUGCAAAAAGAGGUUCUUCAGGUAAGAUCUUCGGCCAACACAUCAAAGCAACUUCCCUUUAUUAUACUUACUUCCCAAAGAAUAGAAAUGCACUGUGAUUCAGAAAAUAUUUCUGAGCCCUGACCCCAUCCCAAAA
This 247-nucleotide long non-coding RNA is filed under the name Bos taurus (domestic cattle). Its description in RNAcentral is "long non-coding RNA NONBTAT024004". Lineage: Eukaryota; Metazoa; Chordata; Mammalia; Artiodactyla; Bovidae. The record is from RNAcentral.